GGCGAGUGGCGAACGGGUGAGUAAUACAUCGGAACGUGUCCUGNGAGUGGGGGAUAGCCCGGCGAAAGCCGGAUUAAUACCGCAUACGAUCUCUGGAUGAAAGCGGGGGACCGAAAGGCCUCGCGCUCAAGGGGCGGCCGAUGGCAGAUUAGCUAGUUGGUGGGGUAAAGGCCUACCAAGGCGACGAUCUGUAGCUGGUCUGAGAGGACGACCAGCCACACUGGGACUGAGACACGGCCCAGACUCCUACGGGAGGCAGCAGUGGGGAAUUUUGGACAAUGGGGGCAACCCUGAUCCAGCAAUGCCGCGUGUGUGAAGAAGGCCUUCGGGUUGUAAAGCACUUUUGUCCGGAAAGAAAACCGCUUCUCUAAUACAGAGGUGGGAUGACGGUACCGGAAGAAUAAGCACCGGCUAACUACGUGCCAGCAGCCGCGGUAAUACGUAGGGUGCGAGCGUUAAUCGGAAUUACUGGGCGUAAAGCGUGCGCAGGCGGUUCGCUAAGACCGAUGUGAAAUCCCCGGGCUUAACCUGGGAACUGCAU
This 541-nucleotide ribosomal RNA is filed under the name Burkholderia sp. Cs126. Its description in RNAcentral is "bacterial SSU rRNA". It matches the Rfam family "Bacterial small subunit ribosomal RNA", at positions 90 to 626 of the family's 1533-position model. Lineage: Bacteria; Pseudomonadati; Pseudomonadota; Betaproteobacteria; Burkholderiales; Burkholderiaceae. The record is from RNAcentral.